Molecule: ribosomal RNA, 400 nt
Filed under: uncultured bacterium
Lineage: Bacteria
Description: bacterial SSU rRNA
Rfam family: Bacterial small subunit ribosomal RNA
Source: RNAcentral
GAAUAUUGGACAAUGGGGGAAACCCUGAUCCAGCAAUGCCGCGUGUGUGAAGAAGGCCUGCGGGUUGUAAAGCACUUUCAGUAGGGAAGAUAGUGACGGUACCUACAGAAGAAGCAACGGCUAACUCCGUGCCAGCAGCCGCGGUAAUACGGAGGGUGCGAGCGUUAAUCGGAAUUACUGGGCGUAAAGCGGGCGUAGGCGGCUUGUUAAGUCGGAUGUGAAAGCCCCGGGCUUAACCUGGGAAUUGCAUUCGAUACUGGCUGGCUAGAGUGUGGUAGAGGGUAGCGGAAUUCCCGGUGUAGCGGUGAAAUGCGUAGAUAUCGGGAAGAACACCAGUGGCGAAGGCGGCUACCUGGACCAACACUGACGCUGAGGUCCGAAAGCGUGGGGAGCAAACAGG